GACCUGUGCGUGUACACUCAUGCCCACGUGCAUGAGUGUGCAUCCACGGGGACC
This is a microRNA precursor of Bison bison bison, 54 nucleotides long. The record is from Ensembl. NCBI's taxonomy places the organism in Eukaryota, Metazoa, Chordata, Mammalia, Artiodactyla, Bovidae.